GCUCUGUGUGGCUGCACAGUGAACACCCCGACGCUGGACGGCCGCACCAUCCCAAUGGUCUUUAAGGACGUUCUGAAACCCAGUGUCAAACAGCGCAUCCCUGGUGAGGGGCUCCCAUACCCUAAAAGCCCCGAGCAGCACAGAGAUCUCAUCAUUGAAUUGAGGUCAAAUUCCCUGACAGGAUCCCCCCGUCCUCCAAAACCAUCCUGGAGCAGAUCCUGCCUGUUUAGCAGCCAAUGGGACAGACUCUAUGGGGGGUUAUUUGGAGUUUUUCUUCCUUUUCUUAAUGGGGGUGGGGGUCCAGGUGGAUGCUUUGGGGGCCUGGGGUGGAGUGAGGCCUUGGGGGCGGUCCCAUUAACCCAAGAACAUAGGGGACCUCCUAGGGGACACCUAGAACCUCCUAGGGGACACUAGGACCUCCUAUGGGACACCUAGAACCUUUUAGGGGACCUUCUAGGACCUCCUAUGGAACACCUAGGGCCUCCUAGGGAACCUAGAACCUCCUAUGGGACACCUAGAACCUCCUAGGGGACACUAGGGCCUCCUAUGGGACACCUAGGGCCUCCUAGGGGACACCUAGGGCCUCCUAGGGAACCUAGAACCUCCUGUGGGACACCUAGAACCUCCUAGGGGACCCCUAGGACCUCCUGGGGGUCUCCAAUGCAUUGGGACCCGACGUGUCGUGUCCUUAUUGCUGCCUGCAGUGUCACCCACCAGCAUCUCCUUGGGGAGGGGGCGGUGCCGUGUCCUUGUCACCAUCCGAGGCUUCACCUUCUCUCCACCACCUCCAUUGGUUGAGGACCAAAGUGUAACCCCCUCCCCCCUCCCUUAUUGCCACUGCUGGGACCAAAGUGGGACAUCCCUGACCCUAAGGAGGGGGACAGGGAUGGGGUUGGGACCUCGUUACCUCCAGCUCUGCCUCCUGGGGACCAUGGGGUGAGCUCCACAACUGCUGAUGGGGGCCAAGAGACCACAGUGUCACCUCCAUAUCUGCUUAUGGGUGAUAAGAGACCACAGUGUCACCUCCUCAAGGCCAUCUCCAUCUAUUGGGACCACAGUGUCACCUCCAUAUCUGCUUAUGGGUGAUAAGAGACCACAGUGUCACCUCCUCAAGGCCAUCUCCCUCUAUUGGGAGCACAAUGUGACAUCCAUAUCUGCUUAUGGGGGACAUAGACCACAGUGUCACCUCCUCAAGACCAUCUCCAUCUAUUGGGUGCACAGUGUGACCCCCUGCCAACCAUCCAUGGGUGACCCAACAUCUUCUCGUUGCCGUCUCUGCUUGUGGGGUGACCCUAAUGUGUGUGUUCUGGAUGCUUUCCUCACCCUGACGUCCCCACACCAUCCUUGGGGGGCUCCCAUCCCCUCCCUAUGGGGUGGCACCAUAAAGGGGGAUGGGAAGGGGGGGGGGGAGGGGUGUCCUUUCACCCCCCUGUUGUGCUCCGGGUGUUCCCUUUUUAUCCUUUGGGAUAAAAACAACCAGAAAAAAAAGGUCUUGUUCCUGGAACAGGAGCGCGCACGCUGUACAGUUUUGGGUUGGUUUUUUUUUUGUAUAAAAAUUGCUGUAUAGUUGAGUGUAAUUAGUAAAAUUCAUUGAGGAAGGGAUGGCUGUGUGGGCUUUCUUUGUUUGGGGUGGGGGGGAGAAUAAAGCUUCAAGUCCUGGGGGUCCCCUUAAAACA
RNAcentral lists this long non-coding RNA (1676 nucleotides) under Coturnix japonica (Japanese quail). RNAcentral's name for it is "lncRNA (ENSCJPG00005000645.1)". Lineage: Eukaryota; Metazoa; Chordata; Aves; Galliformes; Phasianidae. The record is from RNAcentral.